Molecule: ribosomal RNA, 508 nt
Filed under: uncultured bacterium
Lineage: Bacteria
Description: bacterial SSU rRNA
Rfam family: Bacterial small subunit ribosomal RNA
Source: RNAcentral
AACGAACGCUGGCGGCAGGCUUAACACAUGCAAGUCGAACGCCCCGCAAGGGGAGUGGCAGACGGGUGAGUAACACGUGGGAACAUGCCCAAAGGUACGGAACAACUCCGGGAAACUGGAGCUAAUACCGUAUGUGCCCGAGAGGGGAAAGAUUUAUCGCCUUUGGAUUGGCCCGCGUUGGAUUAGCUAGUUGGUGGGGUAAAAGCCUACCAAGGCGACGAUCCAUAGCUGGUCUGAGAGGACGACCAGCCACACUGGGACUGAGACACGGCCCAGACUCCUACGGGAGGCAGCAGUGGGGAAUCUUGGACAAUGGGCGCAAGCCUGAUCCAGCCAUGCCGCGUGGAUGAUGAAGGCCCUAGGGUUGUAAAAUCCUUUCGUUGGGGACGAUAAUGACGGUACCCAAAGAAGAAGCUCCGGCUAACUUCGUGCCAGCAGCCGCGGUAAUACGAAGGGGGCUAGCGUUGUUCGGAUUUACUGGGCGUAAAGCGCGUGUAGGCGGGUCGUU